AUUUUUACAAUGGAGAGUUUGAUCCUGGCUCAGGAUGAACGCUAGCGGCAGGCUUAACACAUGCAAGUCG
Molecule: ribosomal RNA, 70 nt
Filed under: Alistipes sp.
Lineage: Bacteria; Pseudomonadati; Bacteroidota; Bacteroidia; Bacteroidales; Rikenellaceae
Description: partial 16S ribosomal RNA
Rfam family: Bacterial small subunit ribosomal RNA
Source: RNAcentral